AUUGAACGCUGGCGGCAUGCCUUACACAUGCAAGUCGAACGAAUGGAUUAAGAGCUUGCUCUUAUGAAGUUAGCGGCGGACGGGUGAGUAACACGUGGGUAACCUGCCCAUAAGACUGGGAUAACUCCGGGAAACCGGGGCUAAUACCGGAUAACAUUUUGAACCGCAUGGUUCGAAAUUGAAAGGCGGCUUCGGCUGUCACUUAUGGAUGGACCCGCGUCGCAUUAGCUAGUUGGUGAGGUAACGGCUCACCAAGGCAACGAUGCGUAGCCGACCGGAGAGGGUGAGCGGCCACACUGGGACUGAGACACGGCCCAGACUCCUACGGGAGGCAGCAGUAGGGAAUCUUCCGCAAUGGACGAAAGUCUGACGGAGCAACGCCGCGUGAGUGAUGAAGGCUUUCGGGUCGUAAAACUCUGUUGUUAGGGAAGAACAAGUGCUAGUUGAAUAAGCUGGCACCUUGACGGUACCUAACCAGAAAGCCACGGCUAACUACGUGCCAGCCGCCGCAGUAA
Molecule: ribosomal RNA, 515 nt
Filed under: uncultured bacterium
Lineage: Bacteria
Description: partial 16S ribosomal RNA
Rfam family: Bacterial small subunit ribosomal RNA
Source: RNAcentral